UACCAGCACCCCGAGUGGUCGGGACGAUUAUUGGGCCUAAAGCAUCCGUAGCCGGUCAUGCAAGUCCUCCGUUAAAUCCACCUGCUUAACAGAUGGGCUGCGGAGGAUACUACAAGGCUAGGAGGCGGAAGAGGCAAGCGGUACUCAGUGGGUAGGGGUAAAAUCCUCUGAUCCAUUGAAGACCACCAGUGGCGAAGGCGGCUUGCCAAUACGCGCUCGACGGUGAGGGAUGAGAGCUGGGGGAGCAAACCGG
RNAcentral lists this ribosomal RNA (253 nucleotides) under uncultured bacterium. RNAcentral describes it as "partial 16S ribosomal RNA". It matches the Rfam family "Archaeal small subunit ribosomal RNA", at positions 474 to 727 of the family's 1478-position model. The record is from RNAcentral.